GGAUUUGCCUGAGGAUUUUUGAUCCAAUAUUCAUGGGCGAGAGGCCUAUGAGUUUCAUUUCCUGCAUGUCCUUGCUAGUUUGGGAGCUUGGCUGGUCUCACUUGUCCCUGCAGACGGUGGCCACAGUCAUCUGAGAAGUGCUCUGGAAAGGGACACCCCGGUCCCAGGCUUGGAGGUCUCCGCUCCAUGGUGUGCUCCCUGUGGAUGCAACUGCAGCAACUGUGAGACCAUGAGGACAAACAGUAAUGAAGACAGAGUAGGAAGCUACAAAGACACUGGACCAUCGAUGGCUGUCCUGGGGUGCGCAUCAGCCCCUGCCACCCUCUGUACAUGAGAAAGAUGACCCCGCAUGUGGAGCUCCACCACACAUCUGUGGGAUUCCUUCUUAUGCAGCCAACUUCAACCCCUAAGUGACACAGCAUAAAAUAAUGCUGACUCACUUUAUUAGAAAGCUGCUCUCUGUUUAGUUCUCUUCCAAGCUUUGUUUACAUCAGGUAGUCUUAGAUUCAGGGUUGGUAGGUCUUGAACACCUCCGUAUACUUGCUAUUCUCUUUUUUUAAUAAAGCAAUAGCAGGCCUUGGGCUCCGAGCCUCCCCCGGGGCUACAGCAUCCAACUAGAAUUUAAUAACAUUGUUUUCUUUCCACUGAAUUUAUUUUUAUGAUUAUGAAUUCUAUUUAUGGCAAGGGAGACUUGUUUCCCAUUUGUGUAGUGCUAUAAAGCUUCCUCUUUAAAUAAAUGUAUUUAAGUUUUUAAGAACUGGAUUGAUUUAGAGAGAAGCAGGAAGAAAUCAAGGUGGUGGGGGUCGGAGGAGGGUGGACACUACCCUGGGCAGGACAGCGGCUGAGGCUCUGGCUGGGCCUAGGCUCCGGGUUUGUCCCCAGGGCUGGGCGGUGGUGUGGAGCUAUGGGUGGGGGCAGCAGUCCUGCUCUCCGAGCCAGUAACUCAAAGUCCCAGGUUGCUGCCAGCCCGGUGUGCAGCGACUUCAGAAGCUGGGUUCCCAAGCUGCGGUGACCUUUCGCUAAUUAGCCAGCUCCUCGCUCUGCAGCCGCCGGCUGAUUUCGGACCACAGCUCCACAGGCCUGUCACCUCCAGGCAGAUAACUGACCACGUC
RNAcentral lists this long non-coding RNA (1112 nucleotides) under Fukomys damarensis (Damara mole-rat). RNAcentral describes it as "lncRNA (ENSFDAG00000029470.1)". Lineage: Eukaryota; Metazoa; Chordata; Mammalia; Rodentia; Bathyergidae. The record is from RNAcentral.